AGCAGCCGCGGUAAUUCCAGCUCCAAUAGCGUAUAUUAAAGUUGUUGCAGUUAAAAAGCUCGUAGUUGAAUUUCGGGAUCAAUUUGCUGGUCGUGCCUUCGGUACGCACUGGUAUUAUUGGUUUCUCCUUUCUGAUGAAUCGCGAUGUCAUUAAUUUGGUGUCGUGGGGAAUCAGGAUCGUUACUUUGAAAAAAUUAGAGUGUUUAAAGCAGGCUCACGCUUGAAUACAUUAGCAUGGAAUAAUGAAAUAGGACGUUUGAUUCUAUUUUGUUGGUUUCUAGGAUCGACGUAAUGAUUAAUAGGGAUAGUUGGGGGCAUUAGUAUUCAAUUGUCAGAGGUGAAAUUCUUGGAUUUAUUGAAGACUAACUACUGCGAAAGCAUUUGCCAAGGAUGUUUUCAUUAAUCAAGAACGAAAGUUAGGGGAUCGAAGACGAUCAGAUACCGUCGUAGUCUUAACCAUAAACUAUGCCGACUAGGGAUCGGAUGAUGUUAAUUUUUAAUGA
Molecule: ribosomal RNA, 503 nt
Filed under: uncultured Glomus
Lineage: Eukaryota; Fungi; Glomeromycota; Glomeromycetes; Glomerales; Glomeraceae
Description: SSU rRNA
Rfam family: Eukaryotic small subunit ribosomal RNA
Source: RNAcentral